CGGCAAUGAGAACCCCACCUUUCGUCCCACUAUUCUUUUUUAUUUAUUUAUCUCUUUCUUUACAGUACUUAAACAGUACAGGUAGGUUGGAUUUUAUGUGUGUGUGGUAAGGGUCUCUAUCAGUUUUCAGGGAGAGGAAGAAAGAGGGUGUGUGUGUAUAAGAGAAGGAGGAGGUUGAUGACUUUGUUAUCACAAAGGAAGAAGAAACAAGAAAGAAAAACACUCUACUUCUGCUUCUCUAUAUCUAUCUUAUUAUCAUAUGUUUGCAAAAGUCUCCUGCAAAAGAAUUCCCUUGCUGGGAAAAGAUAAAGAUGAUUUUUCCUUACCUUUGUUUUGAUUCAUUUUGGAAACAGUGCUUUGCCAGAUUUGUAUGUGUGGUUAUGAGAUCUUCAAUCGCUUUCCUUUCUCUGACUCUAAUGAAGACAGUGACACUUCUCUCUCCCUCUGCUGCUUCUUUAACGCACCUUGACCUUCUCUUCUAUUCACUUCACUGAUUUCUGCUUCUGACCCUUCAACUCUUCCUUUUUCCAAGUUUUGCAUUUUCUGAUUUAGCUUGUUAAUUUACUUGUAUACGUCGUCGUGUCUUCUAAUUCGUAUUUUCUGUCAUGUUGCUUCUCAUUUCUUUCAGUAGUGUUUCUCGCAUCGUCCUUGAGUUGAAGCUUUGAAUUCAAGGUGGGACUUUAUGUGAAUGGUAAGGUUGUAAGUUUAAGAUGUAGGGUAGUGGAUUUAUUUGCUUGUUAUUUUCACUGUAUCACAUGAGUUGACCCUUGAAUUUUUCUGCUUCUGAAUAUACAUAACAUUGCACACGUGUUCAAAUCGAAGAAAGCAGCUCUGGUUUUGGUUUAAUUAGUCACUUUCAUAGUAUGUCGUACUUAGAUGUAUAUAUUUGAUUCUUCUGUUAUGCAUGAUAACCAAAGGGUUAGAAACAAGGGCACCCACUAUUCUAAUUUUGUGAAGGAAAAUGUUACCGAGAGAAUCUUAAAAUUUCUUCUUUGCAGUUUUUGUACUUUGGUUGCUUCAAGACUUAGGGUUAGGGUUCUUUGGUAGGUACUUUUUGCAACGUUUUUGAAACCAAUCACAUUAGAGUUGCAGAAUUUUGCCGUUUCAGAAAAAAAUAUAGUACUUUCUAUGUCAUCUGAGAGUGCAGCAAACUUAUAAUUCUUAACUUGUAAACAUAUUUUCUAAUGGGAAGGGUUAGGAUUCUAUAUAUGCAUAAUAUAAUUUAUUCUCCAGAGAAACUCUAUCUGGUCUUACCUUCAAGAAUAAGUGAGUUUCACAAACCAGAACUAUAUUUUAUAUAUAUCCGAACAUUCCUGUUAUGUUAGUAGUAUAUAUGAGUUAGAGCUAUGAUUUAUUAUAAAGAUUACAUGCAGUGCCUACUGUUCAGAGUUUUAUUUGAUAAAAUUGAUUUCUAGUGGAAAUUAUCAGUAAGUUCACUCGUUAAAUAUUUCAUAAACACUGUUAUUUCUGUUUUGAAGUCUAUAUAUAUUUUGCAAUUAUCUUUGAUUAUUCUCGUGCUUACAGCAAAUGUGAUUAAUUUCAGUUGUUUAUUAAAGAUCUUACACACUGUCAGUGGUGUUUUGAAGUCUAACUACAUCUUGAAUUAUGUUUGAACAUUGGCUUAUUUUGAUAGGCCUUAGAUAUGUUGAAAUACUAUAGCAUUCUAGUUAUCCAAGUUCUUUUUCCAUGCUAUGGAAAUUGCUUUUGGAUUAAUAUUCAAGCUGUAUGUAUUAUUAGGAAUAGUUGAAGAGAGCUUCCUUCAGUCCACUCAUGGAUGGGUAAGGGGUUUGAAUUAGCUGCUGACUCAUUCAUUCAAACACAAUAGAUCCGGCAUCAAGAUAUGCUAUUGUGAAUGUGUGAAUGAUGCAGGAGGUAAAUUUCUUCCUUUUCUUGUCUGUGCUUGGACUGAAGGGAGCUCCCUCUUACUGUUUAUAAUAUUAUGUUGUCUAUUGUCUGGUUAAUUACUCUUUUUCCUUCUUACAUUUAUGCUGGAGUUUAGCAAUAUAUACCUUCAUUUUCACCUUGCUCUGGAAGCAUUUUCAGUUUCUAAUGAAUUGCCAUAAUAAUCAUUCAAUUGAUAUGUAAUAUUACUAUUAUGGUCUUGUAUAUCCUGUCUAGCAAUUUAUUGGUAGGACGAUUUCUUAGUUAUUUUUUUGUUGCUCGUUUCAAUUGAUGCAUGCAUUUGAUUAACCCAUCUUUCUAUGUAUCACGACUUGAUGUUGUGUUGGGGAUUUGAGAUAGAACCCCAUAGAAUUUGUGGCAUGGGGUUCUAUGCAUUAUCUAAAUGGUAGUAUUGUACCAUAUGAAAACUUAUCAUCUUGUGUAGAUGUGAUAUCAAUGAUUUUGGCCGUCAGAUUUUGUGGUUCUACUGAUUGACAUUGUCUUUGGUUUGGUUAGUAGAUUUUGGCCGUCGAUGCACAAUUUUCUGGCAGGGGUGUCUAGAUCUGUUUUCAGAGCUUAUAGAACGAUGCCAAAAAACUAGUGAAUGUAGUUUUGCCUCGGUACGUCAGAUAUGUUAGGGAAUAACAGCCAAGUGUUUCGGGUUGAGAUUUUACGAAAGCUUUUGGGUAUAAUUUUGCAUUGGUACUUCAUGUCGUUGUGAAAAUGAUCUUUUAUUUGUAAUAUCGCAGUCAAAGAUGAACAAAAUUGAUGGGUUCAAAGGUUUUGUAUUUUGUACAUACUAUGGAAGAAUCAUCAUCCCAGAUGGUAAAGUGGACAUAUAAGUCCGGUGAGAUGGAGUGCUUUUACAUGUAUGGGAAUCCAUGUUAUUUAUUACUAUUUGCUGAAGAGACCUUUUUGAUAAGAUGAUUAAAAGCUAGAUAUGAAGUGGACAUAAUAGUAUGUCAAAUUGACCGUGUUUGCUCGUAAUAUUGCAGUCAGAAUUUAACAAAACUCCUGGUUAGAUUUUGUAAUUUGCACCCUCGUGUAAUAACCGUUACCUUUAAUUGUAAAGUGACCCGUCGGUCAAGGGAACUUAAGUGCUUUUUAUAAGUUUAGGGAAGCCAUACGAAAUUCUGCUAAAUCAACUUUAUGUUUAGGCUAGUGUAUCGUUAUCCACAAAAAAGAUUCUAUGAUAUUUGUAGGAGGAAGAAUUCACAUUGUUCUGGAUGACAAUGCCUAAAUUUCGCAUGAUAUGGUCAGGUACAUUUGAGUCGCUAAAUAAAUGGAUUCUAUUGUAAAUUAAUAAAAAAUGGAUACAAAAUCAACUUAAACAUACCCUAUCUCACAGUAAAAUUAAUGAGAAAUGGAUAUAAAAACAAUUUAACAUACUUAUCUCACAAAAUAUAAGGUUUAUCGGGAAAUCUUUCUAUAUGCAUGAUGUGACACAUCAAAUUAUACUUCAUUUGGUUUUAGCACGGGGGAACAAAUCUUAGGUCUAUCUGAAUGAUAAGAAAUUUCUCGGUAAUGUGCAUCACUUUAAUUAUAGCACAUAUAUAAAAAAGAGUGAACUGUAAGCCACGUACAUGAGUGGUGUGCAGUCAAUGAUAAGCAUCUCUCCUUUGAGUAUUCAUGUUGGUUGGGUCACUUGGUUGGUUUGUCUGAAGUCUGAACUCACAGUUCACCUAAGAAAUAUGCCAGCAUUGAUUAUAGUGUGUAGUGUGUCGGUCACAUUAUUCCCAAACAACAAACAUAAGCAAACAAUUGGCCACAUAAAAGCACAACAUCGGAUUACUUUUUCCCAUGCUUUUUUUUUUCAUAGUAGGAGGGGCUUGAAGGAGGUUAACAUGAUCAUGCUGGCAGGUGAAUAGUGAUGAUUCUACAUACGUUAGAGGCCUUUUAUGUCAUUUUUUGUUUUGCAGUGCCUGGAAUUAAAUAUUAGCAGUGCAAUCUGAGCCACAGACAUUGCCUUUUUGUGCAUCAUUACUGUUCACUAUGCUGUGUCUAGCACCCUAGCUAGAGCAUAUGCAAGUGGGGUGGUCUCAGAAAGCUUUUACAAUCACUAAGAUUUAUCUGAGAAAGCUGAGUUUGGAAGGCCAAUCAACAAGGAUGGUGGAGAAGGUUUUGCAUUCCAUAGGGUAAACAAACAGGGAACAAGGACAAAGAAAAGUGAUAAAUAUAAUAGAGUAACAAAAACAAAAGUCCAUUAUGGGGGACAUUGCAUGUGCCUUGGACAGUAGUAGUGUUCUUUAGUUACUACCAAUUCUCUCAUGGCUCUUGCAAGGGUUUGAGCCAAUGGAGAACAUGAUAACACACUGUUGAGUUGGAUAGCUAUUAGAUUCAGAAAAUGACACUAUACGAUCUCACUUUUCAUCCUUUUAAGUGAUUAACAUCCAUGUGUGCGCAUGUGUUUAUUUUGUCCUUCAUUGGCACCAUUAACAAGCAAGCACAGGGUUUAUACUGUUGUAGUCAGAAUGAGUCAACUUAAAAAGAAUUCUGGAGUCACAUGUUUUCUCCACCGAUUAUAAUCUCUUAAGAUAUCUUAUUUUCUCAGGAUUUUGUCUCUGUCCAUGAAUCUAUCAUGGCCCGAGUUCUCGUUUUCCACGAAGAAACUUGAGGAUGGUGACACCACUCUCAGUCUAAGUGCCAGUACAUUAAAUACACUAGUGUGGGGUUUCACCUGUGCUGGUGUGGUCCAGGUUCAUGAGUGUGAUGGCAGCUUGGCAAUCAAUGAUGUAUAGAACUAUAGAUAUGGUA
Molecule: long non-coding RNA, 4635 nt
Organism: Cajanus cajan (pigeon pea)
Lineage: Eukaryota; Viridiplantae; Streptophyta; Magnoliopsida; Fabales; Fabaceae
Source: RefSeq, a predicted model, not a curated record